Molecule: long non-coding RNA, 351 nt
Organism: Nilaparvata lugens (brown planthopper)
Lineage: Eukaryota; Metazoa; Arthropoda; Insecta; Hemiptera; Delphacidae
Exons: 3
Source: RefSeq, a predicted model, not a curated record
CAAUUGGCGAGCACUGCGUACUCCCCAGAGGUUUAGCACGAGCUCAACGCUAACAUUAUUGAUUCAUUUUCUCACCUCACAACUCGGUUUGCAGUCUCAUAAGCAGUUGUGCUCUCGUGAGGGAAACAUACCCGAGGAGAUAGCUGUCAUUUCGUCAAAUCAACACAUAAAAAAUGGCGAGAAUACAAAGUUAUCGUUGUGAACUAACUGAACUAUUGGAGACGCAUCACCAAUUAUUGGACCAGUUAGCAGAAAAAGGAUGGACGAAUAUGAAAUAUCUAACAUUUGUGAGAGACUAUGAAAAAUUAGGAGUUUGGCAUAGUGAUAACUAUAAUCAUAUUUCAGUUUGUG